This 248-nucleotide ribosomal RNA is filed under the name uncultured Oscillospiraceae bacterium. RNAcentral describes it as "partial 16S ribosomal RNA". It matches the Rfam family "Bacterial small subunit ribosomal RNA", at positions 524 to 771 of the family's 1533-position model. Lineage: Bacteria; Bacillati; Bacillota; Clostridia; Eubacteriales; Oscillospiraceae. The record is from RNAcentral.
UACGUAGGUGGCGAGCGUUAUCCGGAUUUACUGGGUGUAAAGGGCGUGUAGGCGGGACUGCAAGUCAGGCGUGAAAACUGGGGGCUCAACCUCCAGCCUGCGUUUGAAACUGUAGUUCUUGAGUGAUGGAGAGGCAAGCGGAAUUCCGUGUGUAGCGGUGAAAUGCGUAGAUAUACGGAGGAACACCAGUGGCGAAGGCGGCUUGCUGGACAUUAACUGACGCUGAGGCGCGAAAGCGUGGGGAGCAA